GGUCACCAAACUAUGUUCUAAGCACACCAAGCACUACUCUCUCUGUCUCUCUUGUUAAGUAAAAUUUAUAUAUAGCCUAGAUUAUUAACUUUGAAAGGCAUAAUUUUUAACUACAACCUAGUAUUAGAUAUCAAUUUGUCCCUUCAUUCUAGCAGCAAAAAGUUGUUAUUUAUCAUUUUCAAGAAAUCUCCUAAAAAAUAAUGCUACUAGCUAGUAUCUAAACAAAUGAAGGGAUUUAUAUCUAUAACUACUGAUACACCUAA
Molecule: long non-coding RNA, 263 nt
Filed under: Elaeis guineensis (African oil palm)
Lineage: Eukaryota; Viridiplantae; Streptophyta; Magnoliopsida; Arecales; Arecaceae
Description: long non-coding RNA (EGUI_LNC024296)
Source: RNAcentral